GUCAUGUAAAAAUAAACGGGCACAGUAUCACAUCAACAUCCAUCCAUCUACAUUAUUGGUAAACCGCAGAUAAAAGGUAUUGCGAAUUUGUAAUAGCAUACGAAUAAUACAAUACUAGAUCUUAUACAAAUGGAGAUGGAUUUGAUCCAUAACUUUUGACAUGCCACAUCAGUGUUCUUGCAGUUUGUAAAGCAGCAUGUCAUGCUACGAAUUUGGUCCAAAUUCAUCUGUAAAGGAUCCAGAUCGUACAAAAUUAUUCCCCAGUUAUGACCAAUAGCCUAAUUCUCGAGAACACCGGAGACUGCC
Molecule: long non-coding RNA, 306 nt
Filed under: Oryza brachyantha (malo sina)
Lineage: Eukaryota; Viridiplantae; Streptophyta; Magnoliopsida; Poales; Poaceae
Description: long non-coding RNA (OBRA_LNC002193)
Source: RNAcentral